CAGCCUCCUGCUAAUGAGCACCCUGCGUUUUACCUGGGAAACGUGAAAAAUUACAAAGGAAGGUCAGAGAUUAGGGGCGCUGUGAUGCACCUUGCACUGCUGAGCACAUCCCUUUGCCACAUGGGUACCUGCACCACAAGGAAGGAUUCAGCCCCCUCCAGUUACCUGCAGUGUGCUCAGGCUUUUUGUUCACCUACUGCUCCAGGUGCACCUGUAUUAAGUCAUUACCUUUCAGGAAACAGCAUCUACUUCCAAAACAAAAUGAGAAUCGUCUGA
Molecule: long non-coding RNA, 276 nt
Filed under: Coturnix japonica (Japanese quail)
Lineage: Eukaryota; Metazoa; Chordata; Aves; Galliformes; Phasianidae
Description: lncRNA (ENSCJPG00005020173.1)
Source: RNAcentral